This 1023-nucleotide unclassified non-coding RNA is filed under the name Hevea brasiliensis (rubber tree). Lineage: Eukaryota; Viridiplantae; Streptophyta; Magnoliopsida; Malpighiales; Euphorbiaceae. The record is from RNAcentral.
UGCUGAUGAAGAGCUGAAGAAGCUAAAGAAAGUGACCAAGAAAGGUGCUGCUGCAACAUCAAAACCAAUCACAACUAAGAAGAAGUCUGCUGGCUCUGAUGAAGAACAUUCAUCACCAUCUGGUAGUCAGGCUGAUGACAAUGGAGAUGCAGAGGAUGAUGUUGAUGAUGAUGAUGGUGUUCAAUGGCAGACUGACACCUCUGCUGAAGCAGCCCGCAAACGUAUUCAAGAGCAGCUGAGUGCUGCUACUGCUGAGAUGGUUAUGCUUUCCACUGUUCCAGAGCCGAGCAAGGAGGAGAAUAAGCAGCCGAAGAAAGAGAAGUUACCUACGACCAAUGGGACUACAAAACCACCAGAAAAACCUACCAUUGUAGAAGAGAUAAAAGCUUAUGUGAAAAAGAAUUCUCCUGCUAGUGAGCUUGUGGCCUUUUUGGAGUCUCUGAGCGGGUCUCCUCAGGAAGUAAUGAAUUCACUUAUCGAAGGUCUAUUUGAGGGUGUGGGUAAAGGGCUUUCCAAGGAGGUGGGUAAGAAGAAAAAUUACUUUUCCGCUGUUGUCAAGGAUGAAAGGUCGCAGAUACUUUUGCUCCGUGCUCUGGAGGCUUUCUGUGAGAAAUCGGGCAGGGAGGCAGUGAAGGAGGUGCCGCUGGUUGUGAAGUUCAUGUAUGAUGGUGAUGUUCUGGAGGAGGAAUCAAUAGUGAAAUGGUAUGAGGAAGGUCUUUCUGGAAACAACAAGAGCUCUCAGAUGUGGAAAAAUAUGAAGCCUUUGAUCGAGUGGCUUCAGAGUGCUGAGACAGAUUCUGAUGAGGAGUGAUUGGUGGGUGACCUUGUCUCCUUUUGUUAUUGAACUUAAUUUGUUUGUUCUGUUUGUUUGUUCCAUCUGGGAGCCUAACUUCCAGUGUCGUGUUCCACCUGGGAGCCUUACUUCCAGUGUGGUGUUCAAUCUGUUUGGUUAUCUAGGAGCCUUACUUCCAGUGUCCUGUUUUUUAAACUUGUCAACAGUCGUUGCUCUCUUUAUGGGUUUUU